AGGGAUAUAUGCAAAAAAUGAGCGAAGAGCAAUACCCAUGUCUCCCCCCAAAUGGGGCCAAUCAGUAAACAAUCCAUCUCACCUUACGCUGUUAUCUUUUUCUUCUCUCUUUUCUCCAGACACGCACACGCGCACCUUCCCUGAUUUCUCUCCUCCCUUCCAUAAAAUUAAAUUAAACUAAUUUUCAAUACAAUAAUAAUAAGCAGCAGCGGCAGCUGGAGG
This 222-nucleotide unclassified non-coding RNA is filed under the name Hevea brasiliensis (rubber tree). The record is from RNAcentral. Lineage: Eukaryota; Viridiplantae; Streptophyta; Magnoliopsida; Malpighiales; Euphorbiaceae.